CAUGGAGGAAACUCUGAUGCUGCGAUGCCGCGUGAGUGAAGAAGGCCUUUGGGUUGUAAAGCUCUUUUGUAGGGGAAGAUAAAGACUGUACCCUAAGAAUAAGGUCCGGCUAACUUCGUGCCAGCAGCCGCGGUAAUACGAAGGGACCUAGCGUAGUUCGGAAUUACUGGGCGUAAAGCGCGCGUAGGCCGUUGAGUUAGUUAAUUGUGAAAUCCCAAAGCUUAACUUUGGAACUGCAAUUAAAACUGCUCGACUAGAGUUUGACAGAGGAAAGCGGAAUACAUAGUGUAGAGGUGAAAUUCGUAGAUAUUAUGUAGAACACCAGUUGCGAAGGCGGCUUUCUGGGUCAACACUGACGCUGAGGCGCGAAAGUAUGGGUAGCAAAGAGGAUUAGAUACCCUCGUAGUCCAUACCAUAAACGAUGAUUGCUAGAUGUUGGAAAUUUAUUUUCAGUAUCGCAGCUAACGCAUUAAGCAAUCCGCCUGGGGAGUACGACCGCAAGGUUAAAACUCAAAUGAAUUGACGGGGACCCGCACAAGCGGUGGAGCAUGUGGUUUAAUUCGAAGAUACGCGCAGAACCUUACCAACCCUUGACAUGUCUGUCGCGAGUUUAGGAA
RNAcentral lists this ribosomal RNA (617 nucleotides) under uncultured archaeon. RNAcentral describes it as "bacterial SSU rRNA". It matches the Rfam family "Bacterial small subunit ribosomal RNA", at positions 370 to 1006 of the family's 1533-position model. The record is from RNAcentral.